GUGACUUUUUUGGGGGAGGUUUUUAAGAGAUUCAUUACCUGCUUGCUUGCACUACAAUGCAUAGCUCACAAUGAUUUAUGUAGCACUCCCACGGAAACAAGGGCAGAAACAGUGGGAAGAGGAAAAAGCUGAAUAGCCAUCUGAUUGGGAUAUAAAUACAGUCUGCGGGGUGUCUGGCGCUGACGGAUUAGCUGCAAUGCAGCGUACGCAGACAAGUAGUGCAUGUUUGUGGCAAACGCUUGUGACAAAAAGAAGAAGAGACAGAGAAAGAGCGUGUGCAUUCAGGAAAAAAAUCAUCUGGAGUGGCUUCAGAGAUCGGGAUCUCGCUUCCACAGUACAGGGAGAAUAACUUUUUUCUAUGCAAUAAAGUAAAAAAAGAAGUAGUACAGGAAGGAUGGCGUGGUGAUGUGUGGUUGCCUUUUGUGAGGAAGCAGCCAAUCAAUCACUUUGAAGAGGGCGCGAACUGAGCUGGGUGGAGUGAGCAACAGGUUGUGGGGGGGCGCCUGAGAGUGAUUGGCCAUCGACUCCCACUCUUUAACGUUGCAAGCUCACCAAGGAAGGCGCUCGAACUUUCCUCCUUAUUCUGUCUAUAGCCAUCUGCAUCUUGUCUUGCUCAAGCAAGCCUUGCACCAUUGUUUAUCACUUAGUCUUUUCCUACCCGAUUAGCAGUGUGAAUUUAAAACAGUUUUAUUUUCUACUGACAUCUUUUUUUUUUUUAAUAAAAAUAAAAUCACACAGUUUCUGCUUUAGGCUCCAACUUGUCACAAACCAUAACAGCAAGGGAGUAAACUCACUUUUGCUGCGGGUCACAUUGCAUUUACAAUUAUGAUUCUAAAACUAAAUGUUUAAUUGCCUAACAUUAUUCCAUAUACAUGACAAAUUGAUGGAUUACCAAUUUAGAAAUGAGAAUUCAAGGAUAAUUGGUUGUUAGGAGCAUUGGCAACAGCAAGUGAUAUGUUGUUAUUACAAAUGACAAUUACACAUUUUGCUACAGAUUUGAGCAACAAUUAUGGAAGUUGAUGCAGAUGAUUUUAAUUUGGGGGCUGCGUAAAAUGUUGUGGAGCACUGGAUCUGGCCCCAGGGCCUUGAAUUUGGUACCUGUGUAAUAGUUUCUGAGUGCUGGAGAUUCAAAUGAAACUAAAUAAGUCUCGGUGAAUCACAUACACUCACAUGUGAAUCUGGAAUGUUCAAUCAGAUGAACAUAAAUACAUAUUCAUUCACUUGACCUCUUGAGAUCAGACAAAUGGGUACAGUUCCUCAGUGUACACUCCAGAACUGAAUUCAGAACUCUUUGGAGGAUCAUUUGUCUUCAUAGAAAGAAUGACUAUGUACUUGACCAAGCACAUUUGUUCUUAUGAAUAGUGUAUGAAGAAAAAGUGGAACCUUGGCUUUUGAGAGAAAUAA
This is a long non-coding RNA of Syngnathoides biaculeatus (alligator pipefish), 1404 nucleotides long. RefSeq lists it as uncharacterized. NCBI's taxonomy places the organism in Eukaryota, Metazoa, Chordata, Actinopteri, Syngnathiformes, Syngnathidae. The record is from RefSeq and is a predicted model, not a curated record. The transcript is spliced from 4 exons.